Molecule: ribosomal RNA, 433 nt
Filed under: uncultured bacterium
Lineage: Bacteria
Description: partial 16S ribosomal RNA
Rfam family: Bacterial small subunit ribosomal RNA
Source: RNAcentral
AACGAACGCUGGCGGCAUGCCUAACACGUGCAAGUCGAACGAGACCUUCGGGUCUAGUGGCGCACGGGUGCGUAACGCGUGGGAACCUGCCCUUAGGUUCAGAAUAACUCCCCGAAAGGGGUGCUAAUACCGGAUAAUGUCUUCGGACCAAAGAUUUAUCGCCUUUGGAUGGGCCCGCGUUGGAUUAGCUAGUUGGUAGGGUAAAAGCCUACCAAGGCGACGAUCCAUAGCUGGUCUGAGAGGAUGAUCAGCCACACUGGGACUGAGACACGGCCCAGACUCCUACGGGAGGCAGCAGUGGGGAAGAUUGGACAAUGGGCGAAAGCCUGAUCCAGCAAUGCCGCGUGAGGGAUGAAGGCCUUAGGGUUGUAAAGCUCUUUUACCCGGGAUGAUAAUGACAGUACCGGGAGAAUAAGCUCCGGCUAACUCCGUG